UUAGGUAUCUGGUUGAUUCUGCCAGUAGUCAUAUGCUUGUCUCAAAGAUUAAGCCAUGCAUGUCUAAGUAUAAGCAAUUUAUACGGUGAAACUGCGAAUGGCUCAUUAAAUCAGUUAUCGUUUAUUUGAUAGUACCUUACUACAUGGAUACCUGUGGUAAUUCUAGAGCUAAUACGUGCAACAAACCCCGACUUCGGAAGGGAUGCAUUUAUUAGAUAAAAAACCAAUGCCCUUCGGGGCUCCUUGGUGAAUCAUAAUAACUUAACGAAUCGCAUGGCCUUGCGCCGGCGAUGGUUCAUUCAAAUUUCUGCCCUAUCAACUUUCGAUGGUAGGAUAGUGGCCUACCAUGGUGGCAACGGGUAACGGAGAAUUAGGGUUCGAUUCCGGAGAGGGAGCCUGAGAAACGGCUACCACAUCCAAGGAAGGCAGCAGGCGCGCAAAUUACCCAAUCCUGACCCGGGGAGGUAGUGACAAUAAAUAUCAAUACCGGGCUCUUCGAGUCUGGU
RNAcentral lists this ribosomal RNA (506 nucleotides) under Lactobacillus gasseri. Its description in RNAcentral is "SSU rRNA". It matches the Rfam family "Eukaryotic small subunit ribosomal RNA", at positions 1 to 506 of the family's 1831-position model. The record is from RNAcentral. Lineage: Bacteria; Bacillati; Bacillota; Bacilli; Lactobacillales; Lactobacillaceae.